Heterocephalus glaber (naked mole-rat) is the source of this 4514-nucleotide long non-coding RNA. RefSeq lists it as uncharacterized. The record is from RefSeq and is a predicted model, not a curated record. NCBI's taxonomy places the organism in Eukaryota, Metazoa, Chordata, Mammalia, Rodentia, Bathyergidae.
AGGUGAGCUGAGUGCCUGCCCGGGGCUUUGAGGGCAUUUCUGGGGACCAACCCUGACCAAACUCUGACUCAGAAGAAGUCAGUGGAUCAAACAGACUGGAUUUAGAGGGGGCGGUGACCGGGCUGCUGGCCAUGGCAGUUGGCCUUGCACAGCAAAUCAUCUGUGAGCACAGAGCCCGGAGUCUGAGGGACCAGAGUCUGCAGCCCCCAUGCUCAGGGUCAGCUGCCUGACACCCAGCCUCACCAACCCAAUGUCCUUAUCUCUAAAAAGAUGGGCACGGUUGUUGUGGGUAUUGAAAAUCCUGUAAUGAUGGUCCCAGCUUGUGCCUAGAGCACAAGACGACAGUAAAUGGUAGCUUUCAAAAACACUCAGCUUUGUGGAAGUACAAUGCACUUGUGGUAGAACACCCACUUGAAGGAGACAUCUGACGGGCACCAACACAUACACGCACAUGACUGUGGAACGCCUCUCACAGUCUAAGUAGCAAAUGCUCCCAGGAUCCCAAAAAGUUCCUCCUGCCUCUUCGAAGCCAGUUCCCCCUACCUGCCCCAUCUUGGCCUCAGAGGAUGGCUGGUGUUUUCUGUUGCCAAGAUCUAGAAUGUCAUAGGCACAGAAGCCUUUGGGGUCUGGCUUCUUCCCUUUCCCAUGUUUUCAAGGCCCAUCUGUGUGACUGAAGGCAUCAAUACCUGGGUCUCAUUCCACCACAUGCGUCCGACCCUAACCCUAAUAUCUCACUGUGUUUUGAGUCUGCGCAGAGCUGCCCCUUGCUGACGCUGCUGUUUCCCAUUGGGUCUUCUCAAUGUGUUCCUGGAUCAGACCCAGGAGAGGGGAAGAAAAGGAGGGAAGGGAGGGAAGAGAGCUAAGGAAGGAGCGCCUACCCAACCCAGCCCUGCCACGUGAAACACAUGCACCCCGAACUGCUGCACCCCGGGUCCUGGACCCACAGAGAGGCUGUGACCUCCUAGCACGCCUCACCAGCCCCCUUGCCUGAUCCUUCACCAAAUCUCCUCUUUCUUGGCCUUGGAGCUUCAUGAAGAAGGAGGUCUGAGAGCCCCCCCAUACGCAUCAUCCCAGAAAAGUCUAGGCCCCUUCUAUUCAUUGGUAUUUUUUUUCCCUUUCAUUCAACAAGAAAUUAGUGCAUGUCAGCAUGUGCCAGGCACGAGCAAGGCCGGGAGGCAGGAAGAGGGGCGGCCCCAGGCUACAGGGACCAGCCAGCCCCAUCCCUACCCCCUCUCCUUCUCGCCUGACUCAGCCGACAGCAGGAUGGGAAUAAAGGGCGCCCCACCAGCGUCCUCCAAUUUCCCGCUAUUCAGCUCAGACCUGAGUAGCAGCAGGCAGCCGAAAGGAUUUGCAGCUCUCUCCCAAAACAGCCCUCUUGGCCACCUCCCGCUUCCCACAUGGGCAAAGUCAGGACCACACCUGAGAAGGAGCCAAUUGGAGAAGACCCACCUUGGACCCUUCCUGGAGGAGAGGCAGUUCCCUGGCUGCCAGCACAAAGGCCAGGGCUGGGCCAACGUGCCUGCAAGAGGCCUGAUUUCUUCCUGGAGACUGAAGAGCCUGGGGAUACAACCACAGCUCCCCUCCCCCAGAGCCACCUCACACCCACUGGCCUCCCUGCUCCCCGGAGGGCAAGGGCUGCAGGGACCCAGAGCGAGCACGAAUGUGGUUUCCUCUCAGCCUCACCCCCCAGAGACUUCCGCUGGGCUGUGGCCAACCUGGGCGGAGAUGUCAGCCUCCUCAGGAAGCCUCCUGCUCCGAGGGAGAGAGACAGACAAGCUGACAGUCAGUGGGGCAGGACACAAGGCCACGCCCCUUCCACCGGAGGCAGCAGGUGGGGAGACCCAGGAGAGAAGAGCGGCCGGAGAGGCUGAGGUCAGCAGCCACUUGGCUCUGGAAGCAGCUGCAGAUGUGUGGCCACACCAGCACCAGGGGACCCUAUUCUGCAUCUAUGCUGGGCUGGAAGACUGCAAAACCACUUGGCAGAAGACAUAAAUGAGAAAUCCUGUACCAAGUAAGGAUGAAAAGAAGAAUUGGAAACAAGUAUGCAAUCGGCCACCAACUAUCGAAUGGAAGCAAUAAAAAAGAACUCAACCAGGGCCGGGGAUUUAGCCCAAUGGUUCUGCCGCCUGCCUUGCAAGUGCAAGGAUCCAAGUUCGAUCCCUGGUACCAAAAAAAAAUUGUUUGUGCAAAAAGAACUCAACCCUACCCAUGCUCAUGCCUACACACUCUCGCACACCUUCCCUCUCUCUCCCUCAGAGGGACUCAGUUCCAAGGUGUGAAUACACCAAGUCUGCCCUCCUCAGGGCUGCCGUGCAUGUCAGAUGAGAAGAUGCAGGGAUGGUGCCUGCAGACGUGAACACACUCCACGCAUGUGGAUGAAGUAUCACUUGACCCCAAUUCUUCUCUCAGGGAGAAGGAAGCUCCUGCUGGGUCCUGAAGCUUCUUAGUUUUCUAGUUAGUUUCCUUUUGUUCCUCUCCAAAGCUCUGCUUACCCAGGAGAAUAAUGUCAACACUUAUGAUGCCAUUUUAAUCAUCCCAGGGGCAUUGAUCAUUAUUAUGAAUCCCAAAAUAGCUGAGCUAUUCAUGUUUGACAGUGCGAUCAUGCAGGGCUAUACAUCAUGGAACCUUCAAUGGAGGAUAUGCCUUGGUUUUCCAUGCACCUUCUCAUCUGUCGUCUCACAGAGAGGAGGUAUUCUCCCGAUUAUAGGGGUCCAAAACCAGGGGCCAAGGUGGGUCUGAUCACUCACCAGCUGGAGGACUGUGCUGGAAGGAUGGGCGCAGGUCCCUUCUCUGUUUCAGCAUGAGAUUUGCACACUGAGGGAAGUGUACGGCACCCCCCCACACACACACACACACACACACUGUGGGCUCCAUCUUUUCUCCCUAGCAUUGAGGUUUAAGGUUCCCACCUCCUUCCCAGCCCUGUUUCCUGGUCCCACCACCUCCUCCCCUGGGUCUUGCUCAACAAUGACCUUUUGGCAUCUCUGCCUCUCCCUCUGCACAGCUUCCACCUUGCCUCCCUGACAGGUGUGUUCAUGCCCCGACCACAUACCACCUGCUCCAGACGGACGCCCUCUCUGUUGCCCUCCCUGGCUCAGAUGCUCCUGAAAGCAGAGUCCGGGAUCCAGGCCUAGGGACAGGCACAAACUUAAGUAUCUACAUGGGUUGAAUUGUGUCCUCCCCAAGGCUAUGCUCAAGGUCUAACCUCUCAUUCCUGUGGAUGGAUCUUACUUAGGAAGAGGACCAAGUCCAGAGGAGCUCCCAUAGUGCUUCAGUGGGCUCUAACCCACUGAUGGACUUCCUUAAAAGAAGGAAGAUUUGGACCCAGAAACACUUCGGGAGACCACAAAGGCCUCAUAUUGGAGUAAUGUAUCUAUAAGCCCAAGCAUAAAAAGGAUUGCCAGCAUCACCUGGAAGCCAGUAGAGAGGUCUGGCCCUGACUCUCCCAAGAGCCUUCGGAGGGAACCACCCCUGCCAACACCUUGACUUUGGACUUUACCCUCCAGAACUGGGAGAGAAUUCGAAUGUCAUUUUAAGCGACUCUUGUCUGUUGGGAUUUGUUGCUGCAGCCACAAAGCCCAAACACAGUGUCCACCUCCUUAGGGCUUCUACACUCUCCUAAAAGAAGUGAGGCUGUGGUCACCUGCAUCCAGUUCUUUUGCAUGCAUUGUUACAAGGACAGCUGUGGCCCUGUGGAGCCAGCCCAAAUCCCAGCCCUCUGAGGGCAGGCGCCUUGUGUCCGAAACAGGAGCACCUCAACAACCAAGCACUGAUGUCAGCACCCAGGUUCCAGCACUCAGCAUCAUAAUCAGAAGAGACCAACACCUUGCUGGGCACGCUGACCGGACUCCACCAAUGCUAUUUCCCAGCCUGCAGACCACUCUGCCUGUCUCAGAUCACAGCCACUAAUGGGGUAGGGUGAGCGUCUACAUCCAUCCUGCACACAGCAGGGGCUUAGUGUCCCUCCUGCCCUUCCCAAUGGGGAAGCAGGGACAGGGACAGACGGUGCUCCCAGGAACACUGCUAACCAAGACAUAGCCUCAUCACUGUGUGUCCCACUUGCCUGUCCCCUCUGCUCCAGAAGAAACCUCCUCACUCCUCACCAAGCCUUCCGCUGCCCUUCCGGUUACCUGCUGCCCCUUAACUCCAUCCAGAGAGCCCAUUUCAUACAUUCAUUCAUUCAACAAGCCCAUGCUGGGCACUCAGGCUGCGCCUGACACCACACUACUCCCAGGGAGCCCUUGAUGACAAAGACACUGUUCCUGGCACAACUCUAAGAAAGAGACAUGGGCCUUGGAGUGAUGGGAGAAACCCAAAACCAUGCCCAUGUCCCCACAAGCUUCCAGCCCACCUCUUCCCCUGCCACCCCCCAGAGAGCUCUGUCCGUCCAAGUCCCAAAAUACACAUUGGCACAUAUUGCUGGGGACAUCAUUUUACUUAAAAAUGGGAGGGGGAGCUGGGUAAAAUGUUGCGUAUCUGAAGUCCCAGCUACUUGGGAAGCUGAGAUGGGGGAU